CUCCGGUUGAUCCUGCCGGACCUGACUGCUAUCGGAUUGGUACUAAGCCAUGCGAGUCAUUGUAGCAAUACAAGGCGGACGGCUCAGUAACACGUAGUCAACCUAACUCGUGGACGUGGAUAACCUCGGGAAACUGAGAAUAAACCACGAUAGAUCAUAGUGCCUGGAAUGGCUUAUGGUCCAAACAGUUUACUGCCAUGGGAUGGGACUGCGGCCUAUCAGCUUGUUGGUGAGGUAAUGGCCCACCAAGGCGAUUACAGGUACGGGCUCUGAGAGGAGAAGCCCGGAGAUGGGUACUGAGACACGGACCCAGGCCCUAUGGGGCGCAGCAGGCGAGAAACCUUAGCAAUGUGCGAAAGCACGACUGGGUCAGUCCGAGUGAUUCCUGAUAAAGGAGUCUUUUGCUUGUCCUAAAAGCACAGGUGAAUAAGGGGUGGGCAAGUCUGGUGUCAGCCGCCGCGGUAAUACCAGCACCUCGAGUGGUCAGGACGUUUAUUGGGCCUAAAGCAUCCGUAGCCGGCUUUGCAAGUCUUCGGUUAAAUCCACCUGCUCAACAGAUGGGCUGCUGGAGAUACUACAAAGCUAGGGAGUGGGAGAGGCAGACGGUAUUCAGUGGGUAGGGGUAAAAUCCUCUGAUCCAUUGAGGACCACCAGUGGCGAAGGCGGUCUGCCAGAACACGUUCGACGGUGAGGGAUGAAAGCUGGGGGAGCAAACCGGAUUAGAUACCCGGGUAGUCCCAGCUGUAAACGAUGCAAACUCGGUGAUGCAUUGGCUUAUGGCCAAUGCAGUGCCGCAGGGAAGCCGUUAAGUUUGCCGCCUGGGAAGUACGGACGCAAGUCUGAAACUUAAAGGAAUUGGCGGGGGAGCA
This 869-nucleotide ribosomal RNA is filed under the name uncultured archaeon. Its description in RNAcentral is "bacterial SSU rRNA". It matches the Rfam family "Archaeal small subunit ribosomal RNA", at positions 1 to 878 of the family's 1478-position model. The record is from RNAcentral.